Molecule: ribosomal RNA, 515 nt
Filed under: uncultured bacterium
Lineage: Bacteria
Description: bacterial SSU rRNA
Rfam family: Bacterial small subunit ribosomal RNA
Source: RNAcentral
GAACGCUGGCGGCGUGCCUAAUACAUGCAAGUCGAACGGUCUUUCUAUGGAAGCUUGCUUCCACUGAGAAGAUAGUGGCGAACGGGUGAGUAACACGUGGGUAACCUGCCCAUAAGAGGGGGAGUAACAUCCGGAAACGGGUGCUAAUACCGCAUAGUUUUCUUGAUCGCAUGAUCGGGAAAGGAAAGACGGCCUUUGUGCUGUCGCUUAUGGAUGGACCCGCGGCGUAUUAGUUAGUUGGUGAGGUAACGGCUCACCAAGACGAUGAUACGUAGCCGACCUGAGAGGGUGAUCGGCCACAUUGGGACUGAGACACGGCCCAAACUCCUACGGGAGGCAGCAGUAGGGAAUCUUCCGCAAUGGACGAAAGUCUGACGGAGCAACGCCGCGUGAGUGAAGAAAGGUUUUCGGAUCGUAAAACUCUGUUGUCAGAGAAGAACAAGUUGGAGAGUAACUGCUCCAGCCUUGACGGUAUCUGACCAGAAAGCCACGGCUAACUACGUGCCAGCAGCGGC